AGAAGAAGCCCUCACUAACCUAGGACAGUUGUCAUUGAUCUUCAUAAAAAUGAAACAGCCCCAUGCCCCCUGAAUCAGAGGUCCGUUGAGCCACACACUGCAAUAACCUUAACUAGUAAUGACUAUAUGAAUUUUUCUACAAAUAAAAUUUUAACCAUUAGAAGAAUGGUUGGAAUACCCUGGAAUACCCUGCUUAGCAGAUUUCUUUCUCCCCAACACAUUCCAGCUCCUCCUGAGGGAUACUGAGGCUCUCACAGGUCAGAUGAGAAAUGUAAUCUCUCUGGUGGGUUCUCGUGUACCCCAUGGUUUUUACCUGGAACACAUCCACAGAGAGGUGCUCUGGAGGCACCUAACUUGAUACUACCUCCGCCUACCUUGCAGAAGCAGCGGCUCUCCUCUAAGGCUGAUCCCAGCCACCCUGCAGAAUAAGCUCAAUUCAGUUGGUUUUAUUAACAACAACACUCUCGGUAAUUACCCAGAUUUGAUGACCACUAGUAAGGGUUAUGAUGUAGAUAAACUGGUAAACUGGAAGCUUUUGUCAUGGUCCCCGUGUCUCUCUGGCUGGCUCACACUGGCUACAGGUUUUGUUUUCUUUCUUCCCCUCUCCCUCGCUCCUCUCUGCCUGGGCGGAGCUUGUUACGGGCUCUUGCUCUUGGCCCAUGCACCUGUGUGAUUGUCACCACCUGCUGCUGAUCUGGCUGAUUCCCCAGUUGCUAUUUAAGGCAGUGGCACAGAGCAGCUCGCCGCUGGAACGUUGAGUCUCCUGAGUUCGUGCUCUCGGCUUCUUUAAAGAUCUCCCCGUGUGUAUUCGCCUGUGGUACUAACUACUGUUUUCUGUGUAUAGACAUUCCUCUCCUGGACCAGAUUAUGGACCUUUCCUGUGUGGCGGCGUGAGUGGAGUUUUGGAGCGAGUGCGGCUGAAGAGAAGUGAUUGUGCGUGGAGGAGCUGUGGCGGUGACUGAGCUGAAGUGGAACCGUGUGUGUGGAUUACCCCCUUCUCCCUGGAGCCCUGGAACCCCUCCCAACUAACUGUAACUGUGUUCCAUAUUGUAAAUAAACUGUCUUCGUUUGUGCGCAAAGAACUCUGUUCUGGCUCACUUCUAUCUUCAUCACUACAGUCCGGUACAAUGCCUUCAUUACUCUGCACCAAUGUGCUGGUCCAACUCCAAAAGGUACUUUAAUGCUUCUGCUUCACUUGAGCCAACUUCUCUACCCCAACCCAUAGGAAGCAUUCGACUGUUUUCCAGCCAAUAAUCAUGGUCUCAGUCUUGGAGGUGCCAACUCUCACCCCAGUCAAUAUACACUCUCCAAGUCUACAAAGCAAAUGUAGCCUGAAUGGUCGAAGUCUCAUCAUCCUUCCAUCCAUCCUGGAAGGGUGAAGAUCUGGACCGCUGUUCCACAGCCAGGUCAGAACCUGCAUUUCUACUACUACAUCCAGUUUUCAGCUGUUGGCUGGAUCUUCUUUUCCGGUAGUCUGGAAUAAACUUUUCCCAGGUGACUGAGCAGAGCCAUGCCCCAGUAAUUGAAGCACACCCUCCGGCCCCCCUUUUCAAAAAUGGGAAUCGCAGCUCUGGUCUACCAUUCUACAGGCACCAGAUGAAUGCAAAUCAAAUAUAAACAUAAAAGAGGCAUUACAGUGUUAAUACUUACAUGCUGAUCACCUUUUUUUGCCAACCAAACGCUUCAAGCUCCCCCCUGGCCUGGCUCACGGAGAGUUGUGGUUUUGCCAAGGUUCAGCUGUGUGGCAGACCAAAUCCCUUAUACAGUUACAGACCCUGAUGAUGGCAACCUCCAAAAAAAAAAAAAGUUUCCUCAGGCCCCACGUGUGACAGUACCAGCCGCGACUGCUCUGCAGUCUGCCCCCAACAUGAUGCCCCAGCCGCCUCCUUUCGCCAACCUCCCCAGCAAAUAGUCUGUGUUCAGUGCCUUCUCUAACGACGCCUUCCAAAAACUUAUAAUCAUGGUGACAGAGCUGACCAGAGAAGUUGGGGACCUCCGUGAGGUGUUCAGAGCUUUUCGUUAAUCCUGCAGCACUGAACCUGUUGAUGCUGGGGUAUUGCCUCUGGAUUAGCCAUUUAACAACAUAGAUGAGAUGAACAACUCUGCAAUGACUGGAGGCAAAUGAAGCAAUGAUGGCCUGACUCAGCAGGUGGGGGUAAACGCUGUUUCUGAGUUUGCCUUCACCCAAGCAGAGCAGAAAUGUCUCUGCUACGCUCCAGAUCACAUGGGUGGCGCAGAAUGGUCGAUAUCCAGCCCGAUCCCGGAGUAAACUUUAAAAAAAAAAAAACAAACAAAACAAAA
This is a long non-coding RNA of Oreochromis niloticus (Nile tilapia), 2301 nucleotides long. RefSeq lists it as uncharacterized. The transcript has 5 exons. The record is from RefSeq and is a predicted model, not a curated record. Lineage: Eukaryota; Metazoa; Chordata; Actinopteri; Cichliformes; Cichlidae.